UGUCGUUGACCAAGCCCAUGCCAGUGCCCCGCCGUUCCAUUCUCUCCUCCUUCCUCCUUUUCCUUUGCUCUGAAACUCCUCUCUGUUUUCCCUGUUUUUGCAGCAUCCCCAUGUCAUGGUGCCCAAGCUCAUGGCUGCCGGAGCUUCGUCGGACGCCUCCAGCACCGGGAACGGGACCCCCUCGCCCAGAUCCAUGCCCCCUCGAGCUCACC
RNAcentral lists this long non-coding RNA (212 nucleotides) under Hordeum vulgare. RNAcentral describes it as "long non-coding RNA (HVUL_LNC000791)". Lineage: Eukaryota; Viridiplantae; Streptophyta; Magnoliopsida; Poales; Poaceae. The record is from RNAcentral.